CUACGGGAGGCUCCAGUGGGGAAUAUUGUACAAUGGAGGAAACUCUGAUACAGCAACGCCGCGUGGAGGAUGACACUUUUCGGAGCGUAAACUCCUUUUAUAUAGGAAGAAGAUGACGGUACUAUAUGAAUAAGCGCCGGCUAACUCCGUGCCAGCAGCCGCGGUAAUACGGAGGGCGCAAGCGUUACUCGGAAUCACUGGGCGUAAAGAGCGUGUAGGCGGAUUAAAAAGUCAGAAGUGAAAUCCUAUAGCUUAACUAUAGAACUGCUUCUGAAACUCUUAAUCUAGAAUAUGGGAGAGGUAGAUGGAAUUUCUGGUGUAGGGGUAAAAUCCGUAGAGAUCAGAAGGAAUACCGAUUGCGAAGGCGAUCUACUAGAACAUUAUUGACGCUGAGACGCGAAAGCGUGGGGAGCAAACAGGAUUAGAUACCCGAGUAGUC
Molecule: ribosomal RNA, 439 nt
Filed under: uncultured bacterium
Lineage: Bacteria
Description: partial 16S ribosomal RNA
Rfam family: Bacterial small subunit ribosomal RNA
Source: RNAcentral